CAACCUGAGUCCACAUUCCUCCCGGUAAACAAGAGCCCUGCCAUUUUCAAGUGCCAGCCCUAUCGGAAGACAGACUUGGCGCUUGUAUCUCCUCCGACACCUCACACGACUCUGACAGUCUUACCCUCUUGCUCAAACAACACGCCCCGAUGGGGAUGUAUGUAGCCUAUGUGUUUGUAACUGUGGGAGAGAGGAAAACACACAAGGAGUGGAGAAAACUAGAAAAUGUCAUGGUUGGCCCCUUCGCCGUGCUCGGGAUGGAAGAGGAGAUUAGAUGUUGGCUAGGCCUCAACCCAGAGACAUGCUCAAGUCCACGCUGAAUUAGCCCUUGAUGCCUUCAAGCUGUUCUCAACACGGCGCUAUCAGCUCCUUCACAUCCCUCUCUCAGCGGCUCACAGAAACCUGAACUGCGGCACCGGGGGGGCUCAUAAGAAAAAUGUGGGUCGGAAGCUCGGAGCUCACUCUGACAGGCCGCUCGCUCUGGCAGGUGGGCAUCUCUUAUGAAAGCUGCACGAUAAUAAAAGUGAACUCAACGCCGGUCUGCCUUCAAAUUUCACAGGGAUCAGAUAUGGAUUAGGCCCGCGAAUCCAAGUGGUUCUGAAGCUGAGGAUUAGCCCAUCUGUGACCUAGCAUAACUGAGCCCGGGCGGAGGAAGGCAGGGACCGGUAUUCAAGGUGAAGUCCGACUCCCCGUGGAAAAGGCGGUUCUGUGUGUUUGAAGCAGCCUUUCUCAGGCACCACUUCCGCUCUCCAGAUUAGCUCCGGUGAUCUGAUUCUCAUGGCUUCCUCUGGCUCCGUGUCCCUUCGUCUUCUUCAUGGCCCGGUGACACGAGGGUUUCCUUGAAGGGGGACACUCAUUCUUCGGCUCGCCCGAUCGGUCCAGGAUGUGGUGCACAAAAAGCGUCAUCCAUUAGGCGCACUGAUACCGGUUGACAGCCAUGAUAGAUUCACUGAGACUGUGGGGGGAGGGAGAGAAGAAGCAGGAGCGCCCUCCUUUGUCAGUUCCCAAGUUCCCUGAUUCGUACGGGUAGAUCAGCUCCUUCCAUUCACCCACAGACUCUGGCAGCGUUCCUGUGCAAAACUUUGCCUCAACCUAGACUGAACAUCACAAAGGAACAUUUAAACAUAACUAUCCAAAUAAUAUUGAUUUCGUAAAAGUCUGUGCCAGGCUGCGUGAUGUUUGUUUCAAAAAGUUGAGGUUGGAGUUUCCGGGGGGGGAUAUAAAACAACAGAUUUCUAUUCA
Molecule: long non-coding RNA, 1242 nt
Organism: Pleuronectes platessa (European plaice)
Lineage: Eukaryota; Metazoa; Chordata; Actinopteri; Pleuronectiformes; Pleuronectidae
Exons: 2
Source: RefSeq, a predicted model, not a curated record